Molecule: ribosomal RNA, 164 nt
Filed under: Campylotropis macrocarpa
Lineage: Eukaryota; Viridiplantae; Streptophyta; Magnoliopsida; Fabales; Fabaceae
Description: 5.8S ribosomal RNA
Rfam family: 5.8S ribosomal RNA
About the family: 5.8S ribosomal RNA (5.8S rRNA) is a component of the large subunit of the eukaryotic ribosome. It is transcribed by RNA polymerase I as part of the 45S precursor that also contains 18S and 28S rRNA.
Source: RNAcentral
AUAAUGACUCUCGGCAACGGAUAUCUCGGCUCUUGCAUCGAUGAAGAACGUAGCGAAAUGCGAUACUUGGUGUGAAUUGCAGAAUCCCGUGAACCAUCGAGUCUUUGAACGCAAGUUGCGCCCGAAGCCAUUAGGCUGAGGGCACGCCUGCCUGGGUGUCACAC